UGAAAACCCACAAAAAGGAGCAGAGUGACACAGUGAGCAUUGAUGCAUAUGAGCUUGAAACACCAAUCACACACAUGAAUAGCAGAUGGCUUUUCCAAGACUCAUUUAUCAAGGAACAAAGAAAGUUGUGUGUAUAGGACUUUCAUGCAUAUCUUUGUAAUUUGACUAUGAGCCAACUACUUUAUUCAAUAAAUAGGACAGCCUCUGUAAGCAGCCUUCCUUGAGCUCUCCCUAGCAGGCAGUGUGGCUGCAUGGUGGUGAUCUCCUUUUGAUCUGGGACACCUCUCAAGGUUGCUUCUCAAGGCAGAGACACCUUUUGACAACAGCAGAUCUUUGGUUACAAUGUGGAUGAAGAUUUUUAUAAUGCACGGCAAGAUUGGUUCCAGCCUGCCCUGUGUAACUGUGAAGACAAUCUCUUACACCGGCAUGAACCCGAUGAAGUCCAACAAAGUAUUUUGGAUUUACUGUGCCACUAGACCUUCGCAAUACCUGUCACCAUUUUUUUUUCUUGUAAUCAUUGUUUUUGUCUAAUUUUCAAGAAAAUAAAAUUAUGGACAUGAGAAA
Pezoporus flaviventris is the source of this 564-nucleotide long non-coding RNA. RefSeq lists it as uncharacterized. The transcript is spliced from 2 exons. Lineage: Eukaryota; Metazoa; Chordata; Aves; Psittaciformes; Psittacidae. The record is from RefSeq and is a predicted model, not a curated record.